This 497-nucleotide ribosomal RNA is filed under the name uncultured bacterium. Its description in RNAcentral is "partial 16S ribosomal RNA". It matches the Rfam family "Bacterial small subunit ribosomal RNA", at positions 28 to 507 of the family's 1533-position model. The record is from RNAcentral.
GAUGAACGCUGGCGGCGUGCCUAAUACAUGCAAGUCGAGCGAACGGACGAGAAGCUUGCUUCUCUGAUGUUAGCGGCGGACGGGUGAGUAACACGUGGAUAACCUACCUAUAAGACUGGGAUAACUUCGGGAAACCGGAGCUAAUACCGGAUAAUAUUUUGAACCGCAUGGUUCAAAAGUGAAAGACGGUCUUGCUGUCACUUAUAGAUGGAUCCGCGCUGCAUUAGCUAGUUGGUAAGGUAACGGCUUACCAAGGCGACGAUGCAUGGCCGACCUGAGAGGGUGAUCGGCCACACUAGAACUGAGACACGGUCCAGACUCCUACGGGAGGCAGCAGUAGGGAAUCUUCCGCAAUAGGCGAAAGCCUGACGGAACAACGCCACGUGAGUGAUGAAGAUCUUCGGAUCGUAAAACUCUGUUAUUGGGGAAGAACAUAUGUGUAAGUAACUGUGCACAUCUUGACGGUACCUAAUCAGAAAGCCACGGCUAACUACGUG